This 1494-nucleotide ribosomal RNA is filed under the name metagenome. RNAcentral's name for it is "bacterial SSU rRNA". It matches the Rfam family "Bacterial small subunit ribosomal RNA". The record is from RNAcentral.
CUGGCGGCAGGCCUAACACAUGCAAGUCGAACGGUAACAGGAAGCAGCUUGCUGCUUCGCUGACGAGUGGCGGACGGGUGAGUAAUGUCUGGGAAGCUGCCUGAUGGAGGGGGAUAACUACUGGAAACGGUAGCUAAUACCGCAUAAUGUCGCAAGACCAAAGAGGGGGACCUUCGGGCCUCUUGCCAUCGGAUGUGCCCAGAUGGGAUUAGCUUGUUGGUGGGGUAACGGCUCACCAAGGCGACGAUCCCUAGCUGGUCUGAGAGGAUGACCAGCCACACUGGAACUGAGACACGGUCCAGACUCCUACGGGAGGCAGCAGUGGGGAAUAUUGCACAAUGGGCGCAAGCCUGAUGCAGCCAUGCCGCGUGUAUGAAGAAGGCCUUCGGGUUGUAAAGUACUUUCAGCGGGGAGGAAGGGAGUAAAGUUAAUACCUUUGCUCAUUGACGUUACCCGCAGAAGAAGCACCGGCUAACUCCGUGCCAGCAGCCGCGGUAAUACGGAGGGUGCAAGCGUUAAUCGGAAUUACUGGGCGUAAAGCGCACGCAGGCGGUUUGUUAAGUCAGAUGUGAAAUCCCCGGGCUCAACCUGGGAACUGCAUCUGAUACUGGCAAGCUUGAGUCUCGUAGAGGGGGGUAGAAUUCCAGGUGUAGCGGUGAAAUGCGUAGAGAUCUGGAGGAAUACCGGUGGCGAAGGCGGCCCCCUGGACGAAGACUGACGCUCAGGUGCGAAAGCGUGGGGAGCAAACAGGAUUAGAUACCCUGGUAGUCCACGCCGUAAACGAUGUCGACUUGGAGGUUGUGCCCUUGAGGCGUGGCUUCCGGAGCUAACGCGUUAAGUCGACCGCCUGGGGAGUACGGCCGCAAGGUUAAAACUCAAAUGAAUUGACGGGGGCCCGCACAAGCGGUGGAGCAUGUGGUUUAAUUCGAUGCAACGCGAAGAACCUUACCUGGUCUUGACAUCCACGGAAGUUUUCAGAGAUGAGAAUGUGCCUUCGGGAACCGUGAGACAGGUGCUGCAUGGCUGUCGUCAGCUCGUGUUGUGAAAUGUUGGGUUAAGUCCCGCAACGAGCGCAACCCUUAUCCUUUGUUGCCAGCGGUCCGGCCGGGAACUCAAAGGAGACUGCCAGUGAUAAACUGGAGGAAGGUGGGGAUGACGUCAAGUCAUCAUGGCCCUUACGACCAGGGCUACACACGUGCUACAAUGGCGCAUACAAAGAGAAGCGACCUCGCGAGAGCAAGCGGACCUCAUAAAGUGCGUCGUAGUCCGGAUUGGAGUCUGCAACUCGACUCCAUGAAGUCGGAAUCGCUAGUAAUCGUGGAUCAGAAUGCCACGGUGAACACGUUCCCGGGCCUUGUACACACCGCCCGUCACACCAUGGGAGUGGGUUGCAAAAGAAGUAGGUAGCUUAACCUUCGGGAGGGCGCUUACCACUUUGUGAUUCAUGACUGGGGUGAAGUCGAAACAAGGUAACCGUAGGGGAACCUGCGGUUG